CAGGCCUAACACAUGCAAGUCGAACGAACCGCGACCGAGUGCUUGCACUUGGUCAAGGUGAGUGGCGAACGGGUGAGUAACACGUGGGUAACCUACCUCAUAGUGGGGGAUAACAGUCGGAAACGACUGCUAAUACCGCAUAGGACAUGGAAUCACAUGAUUCUGUGAGGAAAGGUGGCGCAAGCUAUCGCUAAGAGAUGGACCCGCGGUGCAUUAGCUAGUUGGUAGGGUAACGGCCUACCAAGGCGAUGAUGCAUAGCCGACCUGAGAGGGUGAUCGGCCACAUUGGGACUGAGACACGGCCCAAACUCCUACGGGAGGCAGCAGUAGGGAAUCUUCCGCAAUGGACGCAAGUCUGACGGAGCAACGCCGCGUGAGUGAAGAAGGUCUUCGGAUCGUAAAGCUCUGUUGUUAGAGAAGAACAGCGCAUAGAGUAACUGUUAUGCGUGUGACGGUAUCUAACCAGAAAGCCACGGCUAACUACGUGCCAGCAGCCGCGGUAAUACGUAGGUGGCGAGCGUUGUCCGGAUUUAUUGGGCGUAAAGGGAGUGUAGGCGGUCUUUUAAGUCUGAUGUGAAAGCCCACGGCUCAACCGUGGAGGGUCAUUGGAAACUGGGAGACUUGAGUGCAGAAGAGGAGAGCGGAAUUCCAUGUGUAGCGGUGAAAUGCGUAGAUAUAUGGAGGAACACCAGUGGCGAAGGCGGCUCUCUGGUCUGUAACUGACGCUGAGGCUCGAAAGCGAGGGGAGCA
Molecule: ribosomal RNA, 750 nt
Filed under: uncultured bacterium
Lineage: Bacteria
Description: bacterial SSU rRNA
Rfam family: Bacterial small subunit ribosomal RNA
Source: RNAcentral